Apis cerana (Asiatic honeybee) is the source of this 5778-nucleotide long non-coding RNA. RefSeq lists it as uncharacterized. The record is from RefSeq and is a predicted model, not a curated record. Lineage: Eukaryota; Metazoa; Arthropoda; Insecta; Hymenoptera; Apidae.
AUAAAUAUGGCCGAAUGAUGAGACGCGUGCAUAAAGACUUCUACGAUAAGACUUUAAUUUUGUAAUAAUUGUGAAGUGUUUAUCUAAUUAAUAAAUAAAAUUAUUUCAAACAACACAAUUAGAGUGCUAUACAAAAAGUUUUUUGUUAAUUCUUUCUAUCAAUAAAGAAUGAAAUGAGUGAUACUUUGUAAUGAAUGUAAAUAACUUUUGUUUUUAAAAGCUAAAAAUCAGUUAAGUUUAUGUAUAAAUUCUUCGAAGGAUAGUUGUGUUUAGACGAUUUAUUUGAUUUAUCCUUCUAUUUUGUCGAAAUUGAGAAUGAUUGCCCGAUAGUAUCGCGGCCCUGUUUUCGAGCUAAGUGCCGUGUAAUCAAAGGAUGAUUGCUGACACAAAGACGGCUGAUUGGCUCGUUUAUGUUACGGUAAUGCUCGAAGCUUGGUGGAACGUCUCUCGAUACCGAGCUCGUUUCUCGUGCUAACGAGAUUUCAUCGAAACGUCCAUGUUCUCAUUAAAGAAUUAAAUGAGAAUGUUCUCGUGAGACAGUAGUGAAUGUGAAUAAUAAUUCAUCAUUAAGGAAACCAUCAUAUCAAGAGAAGAAAAAAUCUCCUCUUUAAAUUAAUAAUCCGUGAAUUCUCAUAAAGGUCCUCAAAUCUUUCGUUAAUUUCGCGUAUCAAAAGAUAGAGAAAUAGCUUGAAUCGUCUAAUAAUCGUUCUUUCUCCGUGUUCGAAUUAUAUUCAAACGUAUUAAGAUUUCAUUGUCUUGAAACAAUGAAUUUGGAAGAGAGAAAGAAAAGAAAAAGAAAUAACGAGAAUUGAAUGAUUUUCUAGUCAAAUCUCUGCAGAAUGAUUUCAAAACCAUAAAUUGUUCUUGGGAGGUAGACAGUAAAGUCUUCAGCAGGGUGUCGCAAAGAUACCACAAAGAUGGUGUAGAUUCGCGCGGCAAGCAUCGAUGCCAUGAGAGGGUUGCUUGUUUACAAGCGACAGUUGAUUUGACAAAGCCGUGGGUCCAUUUAUACGAGUGAAUAUUACAGGGCAAAGUCGAGGGGUGGCUUGUUAUCCGCUCAUUGAAGUUAACCACGGGGCUAAGUGCGCUGGGGAGUGCCGGUCGGUAGGAGCAAGGAGAACUAGUGACUAAAGGUUAGGUAUAUGUAUACCGACGGAGGGGAUAGCUUUGCAGUUUGUAGAGAGAAUCAGUGAAACUCCGUGAGAAACUGAGAGAGAAAAUUCAAAUGGAGACAGAUAGAUACUAGUAUAGCGAAUAAGAAACAGAGAUGAAGCAACGAGGAAAGAAGAGAUAGGCGAAAUAAAACGAGUUGAAAAGAGAUAAAAAAGAAAAGGUGAAGAGAAAUAGAUCAAGAGAGAAAACAGAUAGUGAUAAAUGCGAUAUAUUCGACAUAUAUUUAAUAAAUGAUAUUUGUAAAAAUUGUCUAUAUAUUGAUAUCAAAAGAAUACUCUGAAAUGAUUUAUGAUCACUAUGCCCAUUCUAUUGAUGAGCUUUGAAAUAAUAAUCUUUGAAACGCUAAUGAAAUUAGUCCCAUCGCUAGAAGAGGGUGAUGGAACGAAAGAUGGAUAACAGCAGGGUGGCCUGGAAGAAGAUAGCGUAAUGGGCAAAGAGGUGAGGAGGGAAGAGAGUUGGUAGAACAUUGACGGGCCAAUGAGAGGCCAGAUCGUUGCCGAGGUAACCGCGGGGCUUUCCGACGGAUUAUUCGACCGAGAUUGAAAAGUUAGCACCGUGCAACGGGCGGGGGCGGCGGAACCACUCCUGUUUCUCCAGAACGAGCGAUCUACUCGCGACAGGGCUAACACAACGGAUUAAGGCUUAUUUUCACGUUCAUAACAGCUCAACCCCUUUUACUCGAUGCUAUUAUGUUACAACAGGAUAUUAUGCAAAUGCGAUACGAGAUUCAUAUCUCGAAUUGUACGCGAAUACAAUAGUGCUGGUAUAAUCUUUCACAUCUAUAUUUAAUCAAUAUUAUAAUCUUUGAUUUCUUUUUAGGAUUGAAGAUGGAUUUAUAUUCAUAUUCCGUUUGAAACAUAAAUUUGUGGUAAUUUUCUUUUAUUUCUUUCCAAGAUCAUUAAGAUGUAACUAACUUAUUUAAUUAUUUUUUCUGUUUUUUAUAGAUAUAUCAUAAUGAAUAAAUAAAUAUCAUAAAUAAAUUGCUUAAAAAAAUCCCGUUUAAAUUUAUGAAAUGAUUAUUUUUUUCAUAAUUAAAAAUUAUUUGAAUCUAACUGCUUUUUUUCAUUAUACUCAUAUAACAAAAAAAUAUUUUAAAAAUUCCAUUGCAAUUCAUAGAACAGUUUUUUAAAAAUUUUGCCUAAUUGAUUCAAAAAAAAAAUUCUUGACAGCUAUUUUACUUCGGAUUUUUUUAUGACAAUCUUAUAGACAAGAUAAUAUGAUGAGAUCGUCUCAGGAUUGUUGGCAAAAUGUUCGUCGGUGACGGGUCAAACGUGAAUAUGUCCCGGAAAAAUGUUUAUUUUUGCAAGUAUACGAUGUACAUAGUAUGCAUCUAGCAAGCUGCUUACCUGGUAACCACUCGGAGUUACCUGACACGUGUAUAAUUAAUGCCCGUGAUGACGAGGCGCGACACUCGCGCGCGCACGCUCGUGGAUUAUCUGUGCCGGCAAAAAAAAGCAGGAGAAUGAGUUAUGCGAAACUCAGGAUUGCGAAUGGGAGGAAGAAAAGAGAAGUGAUAAAAGAUGAGAGAGGAACAAACGUGUUGGAAGGAAGAUGAAGCGAUUCUUGCCGAAUGGAUGCCGAGGAGAACGAAAGGAAAGAUCGGACUAGGGAAAGGGGAGUGACGAGCAGGAAAGUUGUCCAAGUAACCGACGUGGAAACGUGGGAUAAUGACUACUUUUUCAUAUUUUAAUUACGCAGUAAUUAAUUGAAAUGUUUCCUCAUUCGUGAGAGCACUCGAGCAAAAUGAGAGGCGAGUAACUCUCCGCGAAGUCGGCUUCGGUUCGUUUUUUUUCCUUUCUUCGAAGCAAUUCUGCGAAUUUUCUCUGUUUCUGCCAUGUUCGACCUGAGGAUAUUUCGUUUCCUUCGUUCUUUCACCUUUUCUCGCAAAAUUAGGUAGAAAUCCUUUCAUGGAGGAUUCACUUCUCUCUCUUUCUCUCUCUCUUUUUUUCUCUUUUAAAAAUUCCAACAUGUGGCUAAUUAUAUCACUAAUGGCCUUAUCGUGAAAGGAUUCUUCUGAUAAUCUGACCUCUAUGUCUCCAACACUUCUGUCAUCGCACCCCUUUUCCAUCUAUUAUCCGCGACUGUGUGCAUCAUGCUUAAAGUACUAAUUAAAUUAGUUUCGUAAAGCGAAACUCGUCGGCCAGACUUUCGAUGCUAUCGAUUCGUGGCGAUCAUUAAAAUAAUUACAGAUGUUCGUCGGUAAUUGCACGGAUACUUGGUUGCUUUCGCGUUACAAAUAUUGUCUAUAAUAUAAAUUGUCACGAUGUUGUCAGUGAUGAUAACUCACAGAAAUAGUUAUUGAAUGCUAAAAUUUAUAUGAUAAAUAAUAAGAGAUUUAAAAAUUCGAUUCAUGUUAAAUUGUUUAUAUGUAUAUAAAUAUUAUUAUAUUUUUAUUGAAAUUGUCAGAUAAUUUAUUGUUAUAGAAAUAUAACAAUAUGUAAGAUAAACAUAAAAAUUUUUAUUUUUUCAUAAUUUCAAAAUGAUUGUUUUGUUCAUUAAAAAGACAAUAGCAUGUUUAAUAUAAACUUCAAUUUUAUUUCAAACUACUAAUAUAUAUCGCUAUAAGUAAUAUUUUUAAAUCUCUUAUUAUAUGCUUUUCAAGACAAAUUCAAUGAUAUGUAUAAUUAUUUUUGAUCAAUAAUAUAAUUUUAAUAUAAUUUUCUAUAAUUCACAAAAUAAACGUGUUUAAUACGAGUAAAUUGCACAUAUUAAACUUCAAUAAAAUUCAAUGAAUAUAUCAUACAUAUAAUCAUUUCACAUUGGAAAGUAUUUGCGUAAUUUUUCAUCGGCUUAAUUUUCAGUGGAUUUCUUACGAUUCCUAGAAAUUUACUCUUAUUCGGUAUUCCAGGGAACGUUUCGGGCUAGCUGUUUCGAUACCUCGAGAGGUACGAAGGACGCUUCGUUACUCGUUACCUGAUGCUGACGCUCGUUGCGGUAGAAAGGGAACAAUAGCGAGACGAGAAAUAAGAAGGAGACGGAGAGAGAUAGCCAAAACGAGGACUGCUAUUGUUUCCGGUAACUCUUUCGCGGUAACGAGGAGGAACCUCAAUUAGAAUGGUUUGAGGACUUAAACGCCCAGAGGCUGCCGGGUUUUAAGAGGUAGCGAACAUUGUUUCUUUUGAGCGAUAACUCGGUGAUACUUUUAGCUAUAUCGUGAAACAUCGUGCAGCAACUUCUUUGGUGGAUAAUUACUAGGCACGCUUGAGGAAACUAUGGAAAACGCAAGAAUAAUAUCCAUGUUGGUAAAUCGUUAUUAACAUGGCAUCCUGUUAUUCUAAGAGAUACGGAACAACUAGUCAUCCACAAAUUCAAAGUCCUGGAACGUGGAGAUCCGCAUGAACAUUCUUCUAAAGUUAUGAAAUCCUGGUCGUGCGAAUGCUUCUGGCGCCACACGGUUGAUGAGUGACAGGACAUUGACGAGACUCAAGGGAUGUUAUAUUUCUUCAAACGAGAAAGAAUUCUUUCGUUUGAUCGAUUAAGAAAAAGUUCCGUCUUACAUGAUGUCCUGAUCGACGAAAUAUUUACUGUUUGAAAACUUGUGGAAGCUCAACAUUCGAUUCAAUCUUAAAAGGGAUUCAUUCAAGCUCGAAAUACCUAUUCGCAUGAUAUCCUAGUGUGAUUGGAUAUUUGUAAGAUAUAAGCGAUCAUUGUUGAAUGCAAUAUAUAUGUAUUUAUUUAUCUAAUUAAUAAUGAAAAGAGAUAAAUUUUAGAAUUCUAUUAUUGUUUAAAAUAAAUAUGCUCAAAAAUAAUGAAGCCAAUAAUAAUUGUUUAAUAUUCUAUAAAUAAUUUGUAGAAUUAGAUGUUAAAAUGAAUUUGAAUUAAAAAUAGAUCAAUAAAUCUUAGCUUUCGAAAUUUUUAUAUAAAAAUAGAAACAAUCCUGAUCAAUUUGUUUAGUCUAAUAAAUAAAUUUCUCUUAAAUAAAUUUUUGCAAAGUUAUAAUAAUGCAUCUGUGACAUCAAUAAAAAAAAAUUUCUGCGUAUGUGAUGUAACAUGAACUUCAUUUUCAAUGCAUACUCGGGACAUCCAUAGAGGAUAGGAUUGCAGAUAUUAUAGUAGGAGGAUAAUAUCGAGGAUCGAUAUUAUCACGUUAUCUCUCAGUUAUUUUCUUUUAUCCUGAUACUCAAGCUUAUUUUGUCUUUUGAAGUCCUUCUAUUAAAUCGAUGCAUAGUGUGAAUUUUUUAAUUCCUUUUACUAAAAAAUUUUGAAAAAAAUUGCUUUUUUAUUAAGUUCAAAGAUCAUUGAUAUGUAAUAAAUAUAAAACAUAAUUGAGAUAUCUUUCUUAGUUAAUUAUAUAAAUGAAAUAUUAUUAAUAUUUUAAUCAAAUUCUUUUAAUCAAUUUUUGAAAUAAUUAAAAGGCUUUAGUUAACAAAAGAUAAAAUUACGAUUAUGUCAUUAAUGAAACAGAAAAUAAAAAUUAAUUACUUCUAACAAAUAAAAUUUCAAAAUCACAUAUGAUUUUUUAUCAUGUACAAUUAUUCUAAUACUUUUCAUAUUUAUAAAAUAAUGAUAAAUAAUUCAAUUUUUAAAUAUUAAUAACAAUAAAUUUCUUUCCUAAGAUUAUUGUAAAAUAUAUUAUUUUAAUAAAUAUUUUAGAAAUUUGAUUAA